AAAGACCACAUUUUUGUAUUGUUUAUGUUCAAUGUUUGACCAUUUAUCUUAUUUGAAAAAAAAAUAAUGAUUAUAGUAUUUUCUUAUUGUUAUUAGAUGAUAAAACAUGAAUAGUACUUUAUACGUGACUAAAUUUUUAACUUUUUAAUACUUUUUUUAAAUAAGAUGGAUAGUCAAACAUUUAACAUAGAAAUCCACAACAACAUUUAAA
RNAcentral lists this microRNA precursor (211 nucleotides) under Oryza nivara. RNAcentral's name for it is "MIR812 microRNA precursor family". It matches the Rfam family "MIR812 microRNA precursor family". Lineage: Eukaryota; Viridiplantae; Streptophyta; Magnoliopsida; Poales; Poaceae. The record is from Rfam by way of RNAcentral.